RNAcentral lists this long non-coding RNA (671 nucleotides) under Daucus carota (carrot). Its description in RNAcentral is "long non-coding RNA (DCAR_LNC006443)". Lineage: Eukaryota; Viridiplantae; Streptophyta; Magnoliopsida; Apiales; Apiaceae. The record is from RNAcentral.
GAGUAUUUGGUUUAGGAUUACAAGAGGGGGAGGGGCAGGUCACAGGGCCUUGGAAGUUUCUCUUUUGGUGUAUACUGGUACUUUCCACACCCACAAUUCAUUGAACUGUCUUUUUCCGUUGUUCCGCUAGUUCUGGAAAAUCUACAAUUUAUUGUAUUGUUGUUCAAUGCUGUAUCGCCUUUUUUUUUGCCCCAUAUUUCCAAAAAAAUCCAAAAUGCUUCAUGAAAAUCUUGAUAUCCCGGCAUUACAACAGAAACACCUGUCUACAUCCUACUAUAUCUGUUCCAAUCACAAAUUGUAAUCCUGGCCAUAUACAUGCACUUUACUUGCUUUAAAAUUUAUCCAUGUUAUAAGUAAUUAUAUACUUACAUCUAAAUAAAAUCGAAACACAUUCAUAUAGGCCUCCCGUCCUACUAUAUCUGUUCCGAUCACAAAUUGUAAUCCUGGCCAUAUACAUGCACUUUACUUGCUUUAAAAUUUAUCCAUGUUAUAGAUAAUUAUAUACUUACAUCUAAAUAAAAUCGAAACACAUUCAUAUAGGCCUCCUUUUGUUUCAGUGAUUUUAUAGGUAUUUCAACUUCUACGGAACUAUGUUACAACUAGUUCCAUGGAAAAUAAAGUAUAAGUGUUUUGUUCACCACUAUGUAACUGGUACUCACUUGUUUUCUUUU